This 792-nucleotide long non-coding RNA is filed under the name Anas platyrhynchos platyrhynchos (common mallard). Its description in RNAcentral is "lncRNA (ENSAPLG00000018071.1)". The record is from RNAcentral. Lineage: Eukaryota; Metazoa; Chordata; Aves; Anseriformes; Anatidae.
AGCCAGACCAAGCUCUAUCUUUCUGCAUAUGUGAAAAUACAUUUAGAAAAACUAAGAGUACAAGGAAGAAGAACUUACUCUGAGAUGCUGCUGUGAAUGACAUGCCAUUGAAGACCUCCAAGCAUUUUAUCUUAAUUGAUACAGCAAGGUGGGAGCCAGCAGCAGUUCAGCCAUGUGGAGCCACACAACAGAACCACCGUGGGAAAGAAAUGAAGAGGGUUUCUAGAGAUGAUUGAAACUGCGAGGGAGGUUGGACAAGCAGAAGGUGUGUGCUCUCCCAAACAUUUGGUGCCAGGGAACUGUCCCUCUUUGUGACAUGACACAGGAUGGGACAUCUCUGGUGACAUGGAAGUGGCAUCCCUUACCAUACUGCCUCGGGCCCAGCAUUGGCAUAGUGCUGCAGUCCAUCACUGCUGCAGACAGGGAGAAAAGGCUUCCCCUAUAUUAAAAGCAAAAUUUGUUUAAACGCACUGUAUUUUCUUAAUGAUUUUUCUAUCCAAAUGCUUUAUGUUAAAUCUUAGAAAGACCUUAUUUCCCCUUCUUUAUGAUCUCUUUCUCCUCAAAGCCACCUACCCCAGGUAGUCUCCUCUUCCACACUGUCUCUCUUUCUCUGUAGAUGUUCCUGCAACAGCCUUCAGUAUAUUGAACACAAAGAGUAUGAAUGUGGAGGAUGAGUAAAUUAACUCCUGUUUCUUUGAGAGAGAAUAUGUCGCUGGAGAAGGGGCAGCCCAAUUGGUGUGGUAUAGCAUCUCUUGGACUGGUGGUGGGGAAUAGAAUAAGCAGUAAGAAGUC